CAGGACGAACGCUGGCGGCGUGCCUAACACAUGCAAGUCGAGCGGGGACAUACGACGGACAGGAAGUUUUCGGAUGGAAUGGAAGAUGUAUGUUCUAGCGGCGGACGGGUGAGUAACGCGUGAGCAACCUGUCCCUUACAGGGGGAUAACACAGCGAAAGCUGUACUAAUACCGCAUAAGACCACAGAGAGACAUCUCACAGGGGUCAAAGGAGCAAUCCGGUAAGGGGUGGGCUCGCGUCCGAUUAGAUAGUUGGUGAGGUAACGGCCCACCAAGUCAACGAUCGGUAGCCGACCUGAGAGGAUAAUCGGCCACAUUGGAACUGAGACACGGUCCAAACUCCUACGGGAGGCAGCAGUGGGGAAUAUUGCACAAUGGGCGCAAGCCUGAUGCAGCAACGCCGCGUGAGCGAAGAAGGUCUUCGGAUCGUAAACCUCUGUCUUUGGUGAAGAAGAAAGUGACGGUAGCCAAGGAGGAAGCCACGGCUAACUACGUGCC
Molecule: ribosomal RNA, 498 nt
Filed under: uncultured organism
Description: SSU rRNA
Rfam family: Bacterial small subunit ribosomal RNA
Source: RNAcentral